RNAcentral lists this ribosomal RNA (498 nucleotides) under uncultured bacterium. RNAcentral describes it as "partial 16S ribosomal RNA". It matches the Rfam family "Bacterial small subunit ribosomal RNA", at positions 28 to 507 of the family's 1533-position model. The record is from RNAcentral.
GACGAACGCUGGCGGCGUGCCUAAUACAUGCAAGUCGAACGAGAGCGACCGGUGCUUGCACUGGUCAAUCUAGUGGCGAACGGGUGAGUAACACGUGGGUAACCUGCCCAUCAGAGGGGGAUAACAUCCGGAAACGGAUGCUAAAACCGCAUAGGUCUUCGAGCCGCAUGGCUUGAAGAGGAAAAGAGGCGCAAGCUUCUGCUGAUGGAUGGACCCGCGGUGCAUUAGCUAGUUGGUGAGGUAACGGCUCACCAAGGCCGUGAUGCAUAGCCGACCUGAGAGGGUGAUCGGCCACAUUGGGACUGAGACACGGCCCAAACUCCUACGGGAGGCAGCAGUAGGGAAUCUUCCGCAAUGGACGCAAGUCUGACGGAGCAACGCCGCGUGAGUGAAGAAGGUUUUCGGAUCGUAAAACUCUGUUGUUAGAGAAGAGCAAGUGCUAGAGUAACUGUUAGCGCCUUGACGGUAGCUAAACAGAAAGCCACGGCUAACUACGUG